GUGGGGAAUAUUGGACAAUGGGCGAAAGCCUGAUCCAGCCAUGCCGCGUGUGUGAAGAAGGUCUUCGGAUUGUAAAGCACUUUAAGUUGGGAGGAAGGGCAGUAAGUUAAUACCUUGCUGUUUUGACGUUACCGACAGAAUAAGCACCGGCUAACUUCGUGCCAGCAGCCGCGGUAAUACGAAGGGUGCAAGCGUUAAUCGGAAUUACUGGGCGUAAAGCGCGCGUAGGUGGUUUUGUAAGUUGGAGGUGAAAUCACCGGGCUCAACCUGGGAACUGCCUCCAAAACUGCAUGACUAGAGUACGGUAGAGGGGAGUGGAAUUUCCUGUGUAGCGGUGAAAUGCGUAGAUAUAGGAAGGAACACCAGUGGCGAAGGCGACUACCUGGACUGAUACUGACACUGAGGUGCGAAAGCGUGGGGAGCAAACAGGAUUAGAUACCCUAGUAGUCC
This 450-nucleotide ribosomal RNA is filed under the name uncultured bacterium. Its description in RNAcentral is "bacterial SSU rRNA". It matches the Rfam family "Bacterial small subunit ribosomal RNA", at positions 354 to 796 of the family's 1533-position model. The record is from RNAcentral.